CCAGGGCUCGGGGAGCUCGUCACCGGCCGCCCCGAGGGCACGGGGGAGCCUCGUGCGCGCGCGGCGGGGCCUGGCACGGCCGCUGCCUCCCGACCCCCCCCGCCGGGCUGGGCAGCCCUGGAAGUCCCUGGAAAUCCCUGCCGAAUCCUGUGUCGCCGCCGCCCACUUGUCUCCCGUGGGCGGCUGAGGAUGGAAAACACCGUGCUGUCGCGCGGGAGGGCCGAGCCGCGGGGGGCGGAGCGGCGGCAGGGGACGUGCGGCUGCGCCGGAGGCCCGGAUUGAACAACAUGCGCAAGCCCAUGAGAGAAAGAUGUAUUGUUGAAGAUGGAGAUCUGGAAACAAGGACCAUUCGCAGAAAGCAGCAGAUAACAAGACUAACAAAGGCUCAGUAUUUGCGGCAGAAGAUUCCUAUUGGAGGAAAAAGAUACUAAAAAGACUAAAAGUAUUAACUAAAUAGCAUAAGCAACACGAGAUUGAUAACCAGUAGUGGAUAGAAUACUAAUUAAUGUAAUUUGGAAACAACAGUAAUUUCUUUCUUUGUUAAGAAUGUAUAAAUAGGUGAAAGAGUAAUGUGUUGGUAUCUGUAUGGACACAGGAUUUGUCGUGGCCACGUGCACACCCAGUGGUGCAAAUAAAGCAACGCCUUGUUUUCUAACACUGAAAAGAUGAUGUUAGGGGAUUCUUUUAUUCCCGACGAUUUUGGAGGUAUUUGACAAUGACUGAAGGACCCAAGGGAAUGUCAUGAAGCUGUGUCACCGGAAGGCUUAAGUUGGAUAUUUGAGAGAGGUUAUUCACUUAGAGGUUUGUUGGGAACUGGAAGAGGCUCCACAGGGGAGUGAUUACGACACCAAGCCUGACAGAGUUCAAGAAGUGUUUGGAUAAUGCUCUCAAGCCCAAAGUGUGAUUCUUGAGGUGGUCCUGUGAAGGCCUAGGAGGUGGGACUUUGAUGAUCUUUGUGGGUCCCUUCUGACUUGGGAUAUUCUAUGAAUUUGGGAAAGGAAGAAAUACUUUGGAAUGGAAUAGACAGGGAAUAAGUGGAAGUCGAGGCAGCGUGGGGCCCAAGUACAGGCUAGAGAAGCCCAAGGUGAUGAAGAGUGUUGGGUCAUCCUGAGCCCUGAUCUGAGCUGAGGUUUCUCAGGCAUCAUCUCAUGAUUUUGGCCUGGAGGAAUGAUUAGAGAUUUGGGGAGUCAGUGUGGAAAGUAGGCUCUGCUGAUGUUUGGAAGAAUUAGAAAUUGUGCAGGUGUCAGGACUUGUAGCAGCUUGGCUAAUCUGUUUUCAUUGAGGAAAGGAAUGAGAAACGCCUGCGGUCACUAUCAAAGAAGGGAUGAUAUUCACACUUGUGGAGCAGUAAGUUUGUAUUCACUGAAUGAUCAGGCAAAAGGUGUAGUGUUUAAGGAUUUCAGGCUACUGGAUGUGAAAACCUGAAGAUCUAGAGUGGAUGUUAAACUAAUACAGUAAUUUAGAUAACUUGGUGACAUUUAUAAUAAUAAUUUACUCUGGAAUGGUGUAAACACUGAGUGUCUUGUGAAAUACAGUUGAGAGGCAUAAAGUUUUGAGCUUUAGCCAAAGUUUAAGUACUGGUGGAACAGGAUUUCUAAAUAAAAGUCCUGAGAAAUGAAGGACACGAAAGCAUAGCUGUAGAUGUGGAUAUCCAGUUAGGAAGAUCAUUCUGCCAUCUCUCUUCAGAGCUGAGAAGAAGCUUCAUCAUCCAGGUCUAGCAGAAAACUCUAUUCAAGCAUGUACAGUUCUCCAAAUCUGCUCCAACUCCUGUCAUCCAUUGUCAAAACAAGAGUAAGGUGAACGAAAAGACGCUGUGUGCAAAGGCACAGAAACAAAUUCUAAUGUAGCUGUUUUAAUUAUGGAUAUUUAUUGUUCUGUGGGUUACCUGCCAUUCAUUUUCCCUGCUGACAAACAGCUGAAGACGUGUUUUGAAUGUCACUUGACUUCUUCAACCACAUUUGUCAUACUAGUAUCUAUUUAUAUAGAGAUGCAGUCAGCUUGAGAAAAAAUAAGAAGAUGGUGGCCCUGAGAUCUAAAGAAUCAGAACCUUCUUUGCUGGAAGUUACUUCUGCCUGAGUUUUUAAACUGAUGCUUUCUGAAGGCCAGGAAAUCAAAUAAAAAAAAAUAAAAGCAGGAUGUAAUGUUGUGUCUGCAUGUAGUCCAGAAAGCCCAUGUAAAAAAAUCCUCCAAUACAGCAGUGAAAGAGAGAUGAACAAAUGUGGAAUAUGUUAUAAUCAAAAAGCCAUGGAAAUAUAAAAUAGAUAACCAGAUCCAUAAAGCUAAGGUCUACCACAUCUUCAUGUCACUAUCAAGAUGACUAACUUUGGGAUUGAUGAGCCAGAUUGGUUUCAGCAGUAUCCAACACCAAAAGCAGCAUGACAACCCCUUCUUCAUUUACUACUGGGGUAGAUACCGAGAGUCCAGACUGUAAUAAGUACUUGAUUUGUGACUCAGAGCUGCAGGGGACUGUAAUGUCUGAAGACUUAGAGUUAGAGGAUGAAAUAUACUCUUCACUCUUCAUUUCACAGAAAAAGAAAAGACGUGGAAACAUAAAGGAGCUUCAUCAUCUGCUCUCCCUGGGGAAAAAAAAAUCAUGCUGACAAAGACUUCUUUUGAAAAGCUGGAAGAGGAACAUUUGCUGUGAUAUAUUGAUCCUUUGGAAGCAGCUGAUAGUGGCGAAGCCCACUCCAUCACCUAGGAGUCUGACAAUCCUGGUCCCAGCAGGUGACAGGAUGGAGGAGGAAGAUGAAUCAUUUGGAUUCUGCUGCCAUGGACUGAAUUAUCUCUGACUUAUCUCUGAAACAACUGAUGUGUCCUCCCAGAGAUGUAGCCUGCAGCCCCCACUCCAGGACUGCUUCCUAACAGGAAGCCUCUACCGCCUCCACCUCUGCUGUAUAGGAGUUGUAGCUGUAUAUGCUAUGAGGAGACUGACCCUGUCCACAGCCACAUGUGCAUGACAUAGCUGCAUACAUUGAAGGUGAAUUUCUGUGACAGCACCCAGUGCAGCAGGGGAGCUACUGUGGCCUUUGUAUCUGCCAAAUAUGUCAGCAGUGACCCCACAUCCUCCUCUUCUUGCUAACCCAAUAUCACAAAGAUGGUAUGAACCAUUUUCCUAGAAAUCGAAAGUUGUUUUCCUAACAAACAACUACUGUAUGGUUGUCUGAGAGGAUUGGAUUGCUGCAGAAUGUGUUUCAGGUCUGGAAGAUUUAAGGCUGGCAUCUAAACAGGGAGAGAGAAGAUAAGCAAUGCAAGUAUAUGUGUAUGUGAGUGUGUACAGUUAUUUUCAUUACAAACGAUAAAAAGAUAUAUAAGGUAUAUAUCAAAACACAUACAAAAGCUACAUACAAGAGAAAUAUUUUGAUUGCAUACCCAUUCACCUUUGUGAUAAUGUUUAUUUUUAGUCACCCUGUUCAGUGCUGAGAGCUUUUAUGGAUUUUACUUAGCAGUGAAGUGAUGCUCAAAUGACUGAUACCAGAACUUUUGUGAAACCUAUUCAUAGUAGUGCCCACGGUUAAUGAUUCAAUAAGGAGAUUUAUGAAGUAUUUUUUUCCCCAGUGAUCUCAAGUGACACACAGUAAAAGCAGCGAGCUUUUGAUGUGCUGACAUUUGUUCCUGGGGAAAAAAAAUAAAAGAGCAAUAGCAUAUUGUAAAAUUUCAGCCUUCAGAUGCUAAAAAUAGGAGGAAAUGGAAGAAAAGAAUUGCUUGAAGUCAGAAACCAACAAGACAAUAUGUAGUGCUUCUGUGCUUCAAAGCAGGCUGACUCAGAAGCUAAUGUUUUGGUAGAAAAGGUCAUGAAGAAAAUGGUUUAUGAUCUCAGUGAUUUUUAUAUCAAGUGAUUCUUAGGUCUCCAACUACAUAGCUGCUACCUGAUGCAAAAAAAUUCAACCAGUCUGUUAAUAGCAGAAAAUAUUGCAAGUGAGUGCAAUUGCAGGAUGUGGGGAGUGGGGACAGAAGAAAUAACAUGGAUGAGAAGUAUUGAGGGUUUUUGUGAAGAGUGCCUCAAUCCAGAUGAAAAAUAGAACAAAAGAUGCUCCCAUAUAACACAGUAGGAUGAACUAAAUUUAUCAAUAAAUAACUGUACUAAUAAUAGGAAGAUUGAUAUUGAUACCACUUCAGCAUUUUUCUGUGUUUCCUUCCAAUUGUGCUUUUCAUCUUGAAAGGAGCUGAGAAGGGGAUUCUCACCUAAGGUAGGAAUAGUUUAGCAUUAAAGAGAGUCAGCUGAAGUAGGGGCAGAGUGAGGAAGGGAAGGUAGCUGUUUCCAAACCAGCUAGGAGAAAGGAAAACUUACUUCUUUCAUCUGUAGCUUGAAAAAUGCACUAAUUUUUAUCAUUAAUGAAUAUGAAGGAACAAAGAGGGGGAAAAACCCAAGAUUUAUUGGGAUAAGAGAUUAGCUCAGUUGGUUAGAGCAUGGUGCUAGUUGGAUUCGAUGAUCCUUGUGAGUCCCUUCAGAAUAUAGAAUAAUCAGAGUAUUCUGUGAAGUCUGUGAAGAAGGUUAACCCUCAUCACUGUAUCUGAAUGGGGGGUGACAAGAGGAUGGAGUCACACUCUUCUUGGUGGUGCCAGUCAAUAAAGACAAGAGGUAAUGGGCAGAAACUGAUGCACAGGAAGUUCCACCUGAAUAUGAGGAAGAACUUCAUUACUGUGUGGGUGACUGAGCACUGGAACAGAUUGUCCAGAGAGGUUGUGGAGAUUCCGGCACUGGAGAUAUUCAAGAACCGUGUGGAUGCAAUCCUGUGCCAUGAUGACCCUGCUUAAGCAGGGAGGUUGGACCAGAUGACCCUUGUGGUCUCUUCCAGCCUGACCAGGUCUGUGAUGCUGUGAUUCUGUGAAUAGAUCUGAAACUGAAGAAGAUGUCAGGCUUUCCAAGUCGUAGGGGGUUUUUUUUGAUAGCUCAAGACCUCGAAAGUUUUAAGAGUGGUGCUGUUGCUUUUUGUGCUGUGACUGAUAAACAGCUGCUGGUUUCCUGCCUACUCCCCACCCUUGGGCAGUGUUACCUGCUGGAAAAAUCCCCGUGCCAUCAACUGAAGAAGGGUGUUUACCUAAAGGUACCAAAGUACAAAAAAACAUGCUAUAAUAUGUUUAGAUGUUUUCAUAUCGGCAUUGUUCUCCAAGGACUCUUUUCCUACUCUUCGGUAAGCGGGACAUUCAGCCAGCUCCGCCCAGCCACAACCCGCUGAGCAGCCGCCCUGGCCGGCGCGGCACUCCCUCUGCUGGCCAAAGGUGGCUACUGCAGGCGCCGGCCCUGCCGCUCUGCCCCGCUCCUAUUUCUUACUGGGGAAAGUCGCGUCCCGUCCCGCCCACCCCGAGUCCUCCGUCCGCUCGCCUCGCGAUGCUUUUUUGCAGUUUGGGGAGGAUAGAGUCGCGCAACCGAUCUCCCAUGAGGAAAGGCUGAGAGAGCUGGGGUUGUUCAGCUUGGAGAAGGCUCCAGGGAGACUUCCAAUACCUAAAGAGGGCUACAAGAGAGCUGGAGAAGGACUUUUACAAGGCACAGAAGGGCCAAAUAGAGUGUACUUCACUGAGGAUCUCUAUCCCUGCUAAAGGUGGAUUAUUUCAAUGCUCUGAAGGCCUUCAGCACCUACAGAGGUGUGACUGACAGGGAGCAGUCAGUGGUGUUUGUGCUCAGUUGGUGCCAGAAGGCAGCUGAACCCGCAGCAGACUUGGACCUGAAGCCAGGCAGUGUGAGGCAGGUCAGUGGAAAGGAAGUCUUCUUGCCUCAUCCUCACUACAGCAUCCUGGGUCCUCCUCUGCCUCCUGGAGAUACCGUCUUCCCCGGAAGCUCCUGGACAUGAUCCGAGGAGGGAAGAUUCACAACUGAAGGACAGAGCAGACAGAAGGGAAAUGGAAGAUCCAGCAAGGAAACAGCACAGCAAACAUGGGUGGGUGACUCCUGAGGAGACCACCACCAAAAUCACAGCCAAAACAGGAGAGAAGGAAAAAAAUCACCCUCCCCUAAGGUUUGAGAGAUGGCAGUGCGGCCACUUGGGAAGUCACUGAGUUGUUAGUUGGAAAGCAAGAUUGAAUGUGAAGGCUGGCUCUGCUAUGAUACUUGGGACUGGAAGACCCUCAAAUUCUCUUCUGUCUUCCCUUUUCAUUUUGAGUUUUCUCAGAUUUAGAAGUAUGCUCUUCUAGUAUCUGUUCUGAAAUAAACUGGUUUCUAAUUGUAAAA
Pseudopipra pipra is the source of this 6166-nucleotide long non-coding RNA. RefSeq lists it as uncharacterized. The transcript is spliced from 12 exons. The record is from RefSeq and is a predicted model, not a curated record. NCBI's taxonomy places the organism in Eukaryota, Metazoa, Chordata, Aves, Passeriformes, Pipridae.